UCCGGAUUCUUUGUUUAUCCGCAGCAAUCUUCAAAUGCUGAUCCGCGAAGAAGAGAUUAAGAUGGGUUUCAAAUCAUUAGUAAAAGGUCUUAGAACCUUGGAAAAAACUCAUCAACUUCCCCAAAAAUCAGACUUAGAUGAGAACGAUAGAGUUGUGGUCGAUUACAUCUUUCGUAAGAUAAUCUAAGACGCCAGUGCUGACUUGUGUUGUGAUUGUCGUCAUUAUUUGUGAGACCACUUGUGCUGUGAUUGUCGUCAUUGUAGGCGAUACCGGCACCAUAACCUAAAGCACCGACGAAACAAUGGAAAGAUGGAUUGGAAAUCCUUACUAGAAGGUGUAAGGACCAUAGACGAGAUUAAACAUCUUAGUCAAAUCACGAGGAGCCAUUACACAACUUGAUCGAUCAUUCCAGGAGUCACCGGAAAACGCCGAAUUUUGCUCCCGCUGUUGUCGUCAUCACCGUAAGGGAGACCGCCACCACGAAAAGUCAUUAUCGUCCCCCAAAAAUAAUUGAACCCUACUUGGCAUGUUCGGCCGUCUGGCCGGGUCAAUCGGAUGGGCUUUGGCAGACUUUGUGCCUCAAAAUGAGCAUCUUUACCAUGGGCUUUUUGGGAAGCUGAACCAAGAAACAACGUAAGGAAGACCAUCGUCAGAUGAAUUUUUCUGGUAGCUUUUCAUUUUGCCAGACUUGUGUUGAGUUUUUUUUUUUCUUUUUUGAUGUUCUUUGUUGUUUGAGUUGUCGGAACUGUCUGACUUCUCUUCUUCUUUGUACUGUAAUCUUUCUUUCGGUCUUAAUAAAAUCUGUUCAUACA
This is a long non-coding RNA of Papaver somniferum (opium poppy), 813 nucleotides long. RefSeq lists it as uncharacterized. The transcript is spliced from 5 exons. The record is from RefSeq and is a predicted model, not a curated record. NCBI's taxonomy places the organism in Eukaryota, Viridiplantae, Streptophyta, Magnoliopsida, Ranunculales, Papaveraceae.